CAGGAAGCAAGACAUAAUAAUGCAGACCACGCACAAUUAUUGGUUUUAAACUACUUUACUGAUAAAAUUCUCUUUUAAUAUGAAUAAGUUAGAUAUUCGAUUUAUUGAAAAUGUUUUAUCUUUACUUUUUAAAUGAUAUAAGAUUAUUGAAUAUUUUUAAAUAUGAGUUAUAUAAAAUUAUUGAAUGCAAUACAAACAUAAACU
RNAcentral lists this long non-coding RNA (204 nucleotides) under Vigna radiata. RNAcentral describes it as "long non-coding RNA (VRAD_LNC007348)". Lineage: Eukaryota; Viridiplantae; Streptophyta; Magnoliopsida; Fabales; Fabaceae. The record is from RNAcentral.